CUUCUUCAAGAAUCUUCUUGAUCAUCCCUUUAAGACCUAAAACAGGAAUCGGUUCUUUAGCGAAGUCUGAUUUGGCUUUGAAGUAAACUUCUCCAAGAGGUGACUUUGCUUGAAGCAAAACCUCAGGAGGAGGAGGAGUGGUAGUUGAGAAUCCAGAGCUGUACAUGAUGGAUUCAAUCCAGUUCAUUUCUAUACAAUCCUCCAGAGUUAGCCCUAGUUCUGGAAAACCCUUGCUCAUUACCUCCAUCAAGUUGCCUUUCUCGCCAAGAAACUGACCUAUGUAUGACAUGGCCACAGUUCUGUUUUCAUUGUUUCCAGCUAUGGUGAAGAACACGCGUAAGAAGAGCUCUUCAACGAGCUUGUCCGCAACUUGUUGCCACUUUGAAAGAAUCUUGAAUCCUGCGUCUUGGUCUAGUGUUUUGGUGACCGUGAAGACAGUUAGGGUUUGAGGAACAAGAACAAGCUUGAUCUUCCAUGACAAAAUUAUCCCGAAACUCCCUCCUGCGCCUCCUCUAAUCGCCCAAAACAUAUCCUCUCCCAUCGUGGUUCUGUCUAGUAACUUGCCGUUAGCAUCAACUAUCUUUGCGUCUAGAACAUUUUCAGCAGCAAGACCAUACUUUCUCAUCAAGGAACCGUAUGCACCGCCUGUUAUAUGCCCACCAAUGCCUAAGUUCGGGUAUAUACCUGCAGGGCAUCCAUGAAUCUUGCUCUUCUCUGAAAUUCUACAGUUAACAAGCCAAAGAUUCUAUAGUCAAAUAUUGUUUACUCUUGUGUGUGAUUGUUUGGUUGCGUUUUGUCAUUGCAUAUUGUGAAGUCAAAACAUAAGAGUUUUAAGUAUUUAGAAAACGUUAAAAUAACUCGUUCAAAAAAACGUUAAAUUAACAUAAUUCAACCUAUGUUUUAGUUUAUAUAUUUUUUACUUUAUUUUCUAGUUUUUUUAUUAAAUUCAGAUCUGAAAUCAAACCUUUAGUUUAUCAAUGUAAUAUCGAAAUAGAACAUGAUUUUAGCUACGCGUCUAAAAAAAAAUUAGGUGUACAAGAUUUUGAUGAUAUUAUUAACCAAUAAUCAAUAAUCCAAAGUUUUGAGUAAGACAAAUAGUAGAUAAACCUUUUUCGGUAAUUCAGGAAUAUAAUAUUUUCUAGCAAAUUUUCAUAAUAUAUAAACGCAAACACAUAAAUAAAUUCAGUAACAAAAAAAACAUAAAUAAAUUUGUGUUUAAAACAAAACGAGAUUUACCUGUAGUAAAGCUCACCGACUGUAGCACCAGCUUGAACCCAAACACUAUUGUCUUCAAUAUCAACAUUGACCUGUCUCAGUUUCGACAGAUCAAUAAUUAUAAACGGUGUUUCUAUAUGUGAAACAUAGGACAAGCCUUCAAAAUCGUGACCGCCGCUUCUAACACGGAGAUGAAUUCCCAGUUUCUUGGAACAUAUGAUGGAAGCUUGGACGUGAGACUCAUGAACCGGUUUGAAUAUGAAAUCUGGUUUAGGCAUUGAUGUGGUCAAGUAUCGUUGAUUUUGAGCCGUCGAGUUAAGGACUUCAAUGAACAUCGAGGCGUUCCUAUCAGGAGUGAAGAAUGUUUUGUCCAGUGGAAAAUCGACAUUUGUGUUUUGGUGGAGACAAUUGAUGAAGUCAUCUUGUAAGGAGUUUGAAGAAGUUGAUGCUACUGUGUAGAAAGAAAAAUAUAGGGCUAAAAACGAUAUAUAAGAAACUGCAGGGGCUAAUUUUGAAACUCUCAUCCCUGCAACUAAAAGCAGAAUCUGCGAGAACAAGAUGGAAAUGGAUGUAUGUUGCGAGUUUUCUUUUGUCAGUGAAUAAACUUAUAUAAGAGAUUGUGAUCAAAUUGUGUGAUUUAUUUUUAUCAAAAAAAAAUUGACCGUCUUAAAAAAAUUAAUGGCCGAACAUAAAAUAGAGACCUUUUUUAAAAAAAAAAUCUCAGGUUUUUGUAUUGCAUUUCCUUAAACUGAAGCAAAAGAAAUUUGUGGUAUUCAAAGAAAAAAAAAUUAAAAAAAUGGGCCUUAAUGUUAAACCAGGUUUUGUCAAUGGAAAAAUUGAGAAUGGGGAAGCUUAAAAUAAAUUUUGGUGUCUUUUUGUAUUUAAAAUAGGUUUAUCAUGGAUCAUUUUGUUAUAAUUUCACUAACUAGUUAAAAAAUUAUCAAACUAAAAUUGGUUUUUGUAGCUAAUAAAAUAAAACUAAAAACUUUUUUAGACCUAUGGAUCUAUGGCAAUUGCUUAUGUCGCCGUAGCCUAGAACCGGGACUGGUGAUUAUUACAAGAUUCAAAUUCAAAGGUUAUGUCUACAUCGACUACGACUAUUUUGUCACAUCAGUCACAUGAUGUGACAAAAAACAGUAGGUUCAGUAACAUCUUAACAACGUGACAAUUAAACGACCCUUUUGCAUAACUCUGUUAACUUGCGUAGUAUAGUUAGAAGGGAAGUUGAAGAAAUUAGUAUUAUUGUGUAUAUAAAAGAAAAUACAGACCUAAGAACAGAUUACAAGAAAAUGAAUGGAGUGGUUCUAAAAUGCCCAUCCCUUAGAAAAAAGCCAAAAAAACCACAAUUAGGCUUCAAGAUGGAAAUGAAUGUCAAUUGUUUUUUUUGUCAAUGAAGAAUACCAUGACAUAGGAAACCUAUGUUUCCAACCUGUGUCAUGGUAUUCUUUGGUUUAGGGUUUGGUAACAUAGGUUGUAGUGUGUUUGUAUUUUAGGAUUAGAUUUUGGAAGCUUAACUUUUUUUGAAAAGUUAAAAUUUGACCUAUAUGUUUUUAGUUUUGUGUAUAAUAAACACUUUUAAAGUUGAUUUUAAGUAUGAAAUGAUUUAGUUAGUUAUUUGAGUUUAGGGUUUUUAAACUAGUAUAUUUAAGUCUUGUGGAAAAUAGUAUAUUUAGGGGUUAGAAGUCUUCUUGUAUAUAUAUGUUAGAAUAUAUAGGAACCGAACCUUAAAUUUUACCAAAUUACAUUAAACCUAACCUGAUUGUUUACCAGAGAUAUAAAUAGUAUUUUUCAUUUUUUUGUUGAUAAAAGCAAGAAACUAUAGCCGUUUGUUUCUCUUCGAAAUCGCCAAUUAUAAUUUUAACAUAUUUAAAAUAUUUGUUUAAAGUUAUUUUUAAUAAAUAUUCUUUUGAAAAUAUAGAAAAAUAAAUUUAGUUAAAUACAUUUAUAUUUAAAUUUUGGUUUGUCAAAGUUAAUAUCAUUUUAUUCGUCAAAGCAAAUCAAUCAAACUUACACUUCUAUACAUAUACGAUCUAAUGGAACCAAAUCGUUUUAAGUUGUUUCUCUUAACACUGGGUAUUCAUUAGACUAUGGGCCUGACUGGUUUAAACGCAGUGGUUGCGGUUGCGGUUGCGGGAGUUUGUGGAUGCGGGCGGUUGCGGUUUCUAGCGGUUUUAAGAGAUUUGUACGACUGGUACUGCGGUUAAAAAUUGGUGCGUUUGCGGGUGACUUAUGACUGGUUAACUACCAAAUGCGGUAACAGUUAAAUCAUAAAUUAACAAUAUUUACAUUUAAUAUAAUUAUAAAAAUAUCAAAAAUCAUAAAAUUACAAUAAAUAUAAAAUUUAUAUUUAUAAAGUUAUAAUUUUAAUUUUUGAAAAUUUAUUGAAAUUAUUUUUACUAUAAAAUUUUAUAAUAUUAAUUAAAAUAUAAUAGAUAUAUUUUAAUAUUUUCAUAAUUUCAAUUUUACAUUUUUUAUUAAAUAUUUUUACUUUUGUAUAUAUAUUGUUUUAAAAAAAAGAAAAAAAUUUUACUCUCCCGCAACCCCCCGCAACCGCAAACGCUAGCUGGAGCCAGCUUUUGAAUUUAUGAGAUUCGAAGCGGUUUGAAACGGUUUAGAGCGAUUUGAGUGAUUGUUGCAAACCGCCGACAACCGCUACCAACCGCAAAAGUUGUGUUUGCGGGUGGUAUCGGGAAAACCAGUCACCCCAUAUAUAGGCAAAGAAAAUUAUAUAAGAACAUCAAAUCCAUUAAAAAAAAACUGAUACUAGUCAAAGAGGAAGCAAUACUCGAGAAUAAAGAAAAGCAAGAGGAUAAGGUUUCCACAAAGAGGAUUCAAUUCACGAGAAAGAGAUUAGGAUACCAGGGGCUACACUACGUUAGGUAAGGCCGUAAGGGUGGGCAGCUGCCAACCAUGGACUUUUAAAAUCAGUGUAUUUGUGUACUAAUUUUUACUAAUGUCCCGGUUAAUAAUCGAAAUUUAUAAAUAUAUUUAAUAGUGUUGUAUGUGUCUGCCCUAGAUGAAAAUUAUUGCUUGAUCCGCCACUGGGGAUGCCGUGUCUAGAGACCACAUGGUACUUGUGAGAAGGUGUCCACAAACCGUGACACAUAUACAAUAGCCGGUGGAAGCCGCAUUUGAUUCUGCCUUGAUCAUGUCUUGCAACCUGCGUGGACCAUUGCAGCGACAUACGACUAGUAACAAUGGUCACCAGUGACAGGUUCUGCUAUUUCGAUAGAUACCUUGUCGCUUUCGGGAUGUGUGAGCCCUAAGUGUAAACCCUUGUCUCUAGCAUUUCCAUUCAAUCAUAACAACAAUCUCAUUUCGGUUUAAUAUUUCAUUUAUUCAAAAGAAACAUCUUACAUUUUGUUUAAUUUUAAUAGAAAAUCGAAUAAAAUAAUUAUGAAGUCUUCAAUAUUAUACAUUUAGUUCUACUCGCAUCCACAAAUUCUAACAACUGCUCAUGCCCUUAGUCCUAAAACAAAUGUCACAACGACCUAACUGAAUACAAUAAAUCGGAAAACGGUAAAGAAGAAAGUACUGAAAACAUUAACUCUUGCACCACGCUCAAGAUCAUAAAUUCACCUUUUCUUGGAUUCGAAACCAAAUCUCCUUGUUAAAAAACAUUAACCAAUCCUUAGUCAAACAAUUUGAUUAAGGGAUUACACCGAAUAUGUUUUCUGUUAUUGAUUAUAGUUUUAUAUAGAAGAGUGAAUUGGCUCAAAAUACAUAAAACAUCUUAUGUUUUAUACAUAUGUGGCGGUAUAAACCAUAAACACUAACUACGUUAAGAGAAGUACAAAACGAAUAUAUAAGCCCAAAUUGUGAAGGACAUAAGCCCAAGAUAUGUGUUACACAAGACGACUGGUGUGUGUAACACAAUGAUAGUCCACUCGAACCAAACUUUAACAAAUUGAGAACGAGAACAAGCUUUCGAUUACGAUUCUAGUGUAGUAAAGUUGAUCAAGGAACUGGGAACUAAUUAAAAACAACUUGUCUGACUCAUAAGAAGCCACGCUUCAAAUUUUAGGUAAAACAAAGUGCUACAGACUUGCCUUAACUUUGUUAGAAGAAACAUUAUCUGAUUUCUUCUAGUUUAUUCUAAUUUGAUAUUCUUGAGCUUCAGUUUUGAACCAGCAUAGGUGGGAUACUCUGUUCAUGUCUGAAGAAAUUAUUUGGAUCAACCUUUGUUUUAACCUUCACCAACCUUUCGAAAUUUCCUUUGAAGUAACUAGCUCCCAAGACUUGAGCUUGGUUGAUGGUCGACUUACAGCCCUUUUUGUUCUGUCCCAGGUCUAGAUCACGGUAGUUGACGUAGGCUUGUCGUGGAUUCGCCGAGACAUAAGGAGUCAUGAAACUGUAGAUAUCUCUGAUCCAUUUGAUGUGCCUGCUUGCUAUCAUGUCACUGUCUGGCCAAUUCGUUACGUAAUGAAUCUUGAAUAUGACUCCUUUCCUAUGCGGAAACGGGAUCUGUGAUUCAGGGGUUUUCGCCAUCAUUCCUCCGUAAGGAUUCCAUAUCAUCAUUGGAUUAUCUUCUUUAAGCAACUUCUUGAAGAUCCCUUUAAGCCCUGACUCAGGAAUAGGCUUCUUCACGAAGUCGGAUUUGGCUUUGAAGUUGUUCUUUGGGAAAGCUGACUUCCCUUGAAGCAAUACCUUGGUAGGAGUGCGGCUCGCGAAUCCAGAGAUGUAAACAAUGGAUUCAAGCCAGCUCAUUUCGGUACAAUCUUUCGGCAUUAGACCUAGCUCCGGAAAGCUCUUGUUCAUAACUUUCAUCAACACACCUUUGUUGCCAAGAAACACAGUGUUAUACGACGUCGUGGCGGUCUUGCUUCCGUUGUUUGCAGCUACGUUGAAGAUCACUCGGAUGAAUAGCUCGUCGACAAGCUUGUCCGCGACCAUUUGCCACUUUGAAAGAAUCUUGUUUCCAGGGUCUUGUUGUAACGUUUUGGUGACGGUGAAGACGGUUACCGUGUUAGGAACAGGAACAAGCUUGAUCUUCCAUUCUAGAAUUAUCCUGAAACUGCCUCCAGCGCCUCCUCCAAUGGCCCAAAACAUAUCCUCGCCCAUCCCUUUUCGGUCUAGUAUUUUACCGUUGGCGUCGACGAUCUUUGUGUCUAGAACGUUAUCUGCACCGAGACCAUAUUUCCUCAUCAUGGAACCGUAUGCACCGCCGGUUAUGUGCCCGACUAUUCCUAAGCUGGAGCACAAACCGGCCGGAAAACUAUGGACUCUGCUCUUCUCUGCAAUCCUACAGGUAACAAAAAAAGUUUCUUGAUCAAAUAUACAGUCAAAAGAUAGAUCCUAGCGUCACAAUUCCAUUUUUGUCUAAAUUUCGGAAUAAACUGCUCUUUAGAUGCUAUAUUUUCUUAGUGAUCCUUCUUAAUAGUGAAAAUUUAUUUGUUGUCUUUCUAUUUACCUGUAGUAAAGUUAACCAACUGUAGCACUAGCUUGAACCCAAGCACUAUUGUCUUUAAUAUUAAUGUUGACUUUUCUCUGCUUGGACAGGUCCAGCACUAUAAAAGGUUUUUCGAUCUCCGAGACAUAAGACAAGCCUUCGUAGUCGUGACCGCCGCUUAUGACGCGCACAUGAGUUCCAAGUUUCUUGGAACAGAUGAUGGAAGCUUGGACGUGAGACUCGUGGAGCGGUUUGAAUAUGAAUCCCGGUUUAGGCAUGGACUUUGUCAAGUACCGGAGAUUCUGAGCUGUGGACUGAAGGACUUCGCUGAACAUGGAAACGUUUUUGGCAAGAGCGAAAAACGUACUUUCGAGUGGGAAAGAAACAUGCGUGUUUUUAUGGAGACAGUUUAUGAAUUGAUCUUGGAGGGAAGCUGAAGAAGUUGUUGGUGUGAUAGUGUAGAAUGAGAAAUAUAAGGCGAAAAUCAAAAGAAAAGAAAAUGCAGGGGAUGGUUUUGAAAUUCCCAUUUCUCUCUUUAAGGAAGCUCUGCUCUAUUGUUUGAUCCCAAUCUGCAAAAAUUUAGUCUAUAACUAUAUGUACUAGAUGCAUUGCUCUCGCGCAAGCGCGGGGUUGUGGACAUAGUUCUUGUUUCAUCUCAAUAUUUGCUAAGGUUAUUGUAGUUGUGAAUUUUGCGUUUUGAAUUGUUUUUCAAGUUUUUUUAUUGUUAUAGGGUUAGAGUUGUGAUGAUGAACUGUGUAUACAUUAUUCUCCACUUAUGAAGGACUAAACUGUGUUAGUAAUGUGAUUGAUAUAGUUCAUGUUGUUGUUUGCUGUGUCACUGAAACUUAUUGUUUGUUUGUCUUUUUAAUUUGUUUCUUGUACUAUUGAGAGUACAUAAAUUAUAUUAAAGUUGUUGAGAAUACCUUUUGUUUUUGGAUAUUUUUUUCUCCAGUUUAGUUGUGUAAGUUGUGUGUAUUAAGUAAUAAUUUUUAUUAUUCUUAAUAUGUUUGUUAUAUGUUUUUAUUUUAUUUUUAAACUUAUUGCUCUUACUGGACCUUUAAAACAAAUACAUUAAGAUUUAUAGAAAUAACUAUAAAAUGAGUGACAGUUCUGAGUAUUUGGGUUUUAAUGAGUUUUAAACGAAUUUAUGUAUUUUUCAUAAGAAGGCAAUAGCUUUGGCCUGUUGACAUUGGGCAUGUAAGCUAUUUUUAUAAGACAAGAGGAGUGAGCAGGUGGAGCUGUUGUUACCGCCUUUGUGUAUGUCGGGUUUGUCUCUUGUAUCUCCAGUUGUGGCUGUGUUUGUUUAUCUUUUAUUUGAUGGCUAAUAUGUAAACAAAAAUCAUUGUUAGUUGUAUUUAUCAGAGUUUAUAACUUAUUCUGCUUUUUUUUGUUUAGGUAAUUUCACUGAUCUUGGUUGUCGUUUUCGUCUUCUUCGUUGCAAAAGUAAGUUUGUAAAUUGUUAAAUAGCUGGCCAUGUAGUUUGUAUUUGUUUAGCUGACUCGAUGUAUGUGUCGUUACGAAACUCAGUUUGUAAAUUGUUAAAUAGCUGGCCGUGUAGUUUGUAUUUAUUUAGCUGACUCGAUGUAUGUGUCGUUGAGUUUUAGUUGAGGUGAUUGGUUUGGUAUAUUUGUUUUGAAGUUUAUUUUUAAGAUUAGACAAAAAAGAGAGGUGAUCAUUAAUGAUUAGUCUUUUUUGGAAUUCUAGUUUUUGGUGUUUUGAUUGUUUGGGUUGUUGUGGUUUCUUUUAAGUUAUAAAAUAAAGGUCUGUGUAAAAUUAGUUUGAUAAGUAAGGGAGAUAAAUAGACGACCACAAAAUUUGGGUAGAAAAUAUUUUUGAUUAUUGAUGUUAGCACAAUAUAGAUAAUAAUAUAAAGAGAAUUGUUUCUUACGGAUCAAUGAGAAGACGGAUAACGACUCGAGUUGUUUCUUGGCUAAGGUCAGAGCCUUGGAUAGAUUAGAUUUUUCCAACUACAUCUGCGAGUUUAAAUAUCAGUUAUGAGAACGAAACAUAUUAUAAACACAGAUGCAAUAUGAUAAUAUAUCUGGGAGUUCUAGGUUUGUGUUCGCAAUCACUUGGAAAUUGUCAAACAGUCUAAUAAUGAUAGGAGAUUGAUCUCAGGAGUACCCGUGAUGACAUUAUAAACAAUAGUUGGUUAUAUGAAACGAAUGAGGAAUGAAUGAUCAAUGAUUAGCACGAGCACCUAGCAACUUCAAAACGAUAGACUUUCAUAAUGGAACCGGCUUUCAAAGAAGGCAUGUAAUGAUUAGCACGACUGGCAAAAAUAAACCCAUGAAUCACAGAAUCUGCAAAUAAUAUUAUUUAACAAAGAAUCAGGAAAUCAAUUAAAAAAUUAUAUUAAAUAGUGUGAAAAAUCGUAGAUUAACUUACCUUUUCAUCAAGGAAGAGAACCGUGAAUCCCAUAAAUUCACUGUCUUUCUUGAAGUUCAAGGAAUCCCAUAAGCGACGAGGUUAGAGGCUAUAUGCUCUGACUUUACAACCAACACUGAGAGAUUCGAAGGUUGAGUGACGAAUGCCGGAAAUGCUGGUUUGAGGAACUGGAGAGGCAGAGAGACAUUUUCUGGAAGAUCGUUAAAGCUAAGAGGAAUCAAUGAGUUUUGUGGAGAUGCAGAUUGGGUUCAUCAAAGAUGAGAAUCAUAUAUACAUAGGACUUACAUAAAGACUACAAAUCAGGAACAUUUAAGAUCAAGCAACUUAAGAUGGGGGGAUGAAGAGUUCACCGGUGAAAAAAUAGAUUACUAACAAACACACAGCGCAAUUCUGUAACUCAGACUUGUCUAAGACAAUAAUGAAAAGAACCAUAACUCAUGUUAAACGAAGACAGUUUUCAUGUUAAACGAAGACAUUUUACAAUAUGGAAAAAAUAUAAUUGUAGUUUUUUUCAUAUAACGUGAUGAACCUCAUUUAAAAUGAAACUCAUAAUACACUUGUAGGCCUAGCCCACAGAGAAAACCGAAGAAGUAAAGGUUUCCGACCUUCAUAAAUAUAUAUUAGUUUCAGCCAUCAAUGUACAAUGUAUCCUUUAGUUUAGUGGUAUAAAUGUUGGUGUUUAUAUCUCAAUAACCCAGGUUCGAACCAGAGGCUUGACACUUUUUCACCUUUUUUAAAAGUGAAACCCACCAAAAUGCUGACGUGUCGUCUCAGGAAAGAGGAAACUGCCUCAUUAUAUUAUAGAUUUUGACAAUAUUUUUCAAAGCAAUGUCAUUUUUAAGAUGAAAAGACAUUUUUUAGGAUCAAAAGUUACAACUUUUGACAUUUAUUCGGAGAAAUUUACAUGUUUACACAUUUUGAUAACUUAUUUUUAACAAAUGCAAUUUUUAGGACCAAAAGACACAUCUUUGUACAAUUUAACAAUUUUUUUAAACCAAUGCAACUCUUAGAUGAAAAGAACAUUAUUAAGAAAAUAUAAAUUUAUACAUUUUUAAAAAUAUGUUUUUUAAAUAAUGCAACUUUUAAAAUGAAAAGACACAUUUUUACAGUGAAAAGACACAACCUUUAACAUUAAUUUGGAUUCCUAUUAUUAAUAGACAGGAAAAUGACUAUUUAUUUAAAUAUGUAUAUUUUCUCCUAGUUUUAUAAGUUAUAUUUAAACAUAUACAUAUAUAUAUAUAUAUAUAUAUUUUUUUUUUUUGAUAAAUUUCAGUUUUUUUUUAUUUUCGUUCAGAUAUGUUAAAUUGGUAAAAAUCAAUAUGUUAAUUUUCUUAAUGAGCCGAUAAAUUUAAAUAAAAUUCUAGUCAACUCAUUAUAUAUCAACUAAAAAUAUAUUUGGUUAGUAUUGUUUUAGUUUUAUAUUUGUAGGGCACACUUACGAAUAAUUUAAUUAUAUAUAUAAAUAUAUGUAUAUAUAUAACAGUUUUUUAGAAACAUAAAUAAAAAGUCAAUUAUUACUAUAUUUUAAAAAAUUUGACAAAUAUAAAAUUUUAAAAUAAAUUUACACUAAUGGUUGAUAUAUAAAUUAUUAAUUAUUACCUUAUUUAAAAAUCUUGAAUUAAACAUUUAUGAAAGGAAAUUAUACAUGUCAUCGUCAAGUGAUGCCAUGUCAUAAUUUCUUAAACCGUGUUAUCUUUUUAGUGAAAAAAUGUGCUGAUGACGUAUGUCAUAAUCACUUUUUAAAUAAUGUAUAAAAUAUUUUUCGAGAUUGUCUGAAAUAAAGGAAGAAAAAGAAACAUUGUUCCAUUUAUUCGAGCUUAUUGUAUGAUGAUACUUAUUUAAAGGGUAUUAUAUAUCACCAGCUUAGCUUCAAUAAAGAAGUGGGACGCUUUGUUCGUGUCUAAACAAGUUUUCUGGAUGAGCCUUUGUUUUAAUCUUCACCAAUCUGUUGAAAUUGUCUUUGAAGUACUUUGCUCCCCAGACUUGAGCUUGUUUGAGGCUUGUCCUUGAGUUGUUGCUGUUCUGUCCCAGGUCUAGAUCUCUGUAGUUCACAUAUGCUUGUCUUGGGUUACUUGAGACAUAAGGCGUCAUGUAAUUGUACAACUCCCUGAUCCAUUUGAUACGCAUGUCUGGUCUCUUCUCGGUGUCUGACCAGCUCCUGUAAUACAGAAUCAUGAAGCUGGUUCCACUUCUAUGCGGAAACGGGAUCUCAGAUUCAGGGAUUUUAUCCAUCAUUCCACCGUAUGGAGUCCAUACCAUUAGCGCAGCUUCUUCUUCAAGAAUCUUCUUGAUCAUCCCUUGAAGACCUAAAAUAGGAAUAGGUUCUUUAGCAAAAUCGGAUUUGGCUUUGAAGUAAACUUCUCCCAUAGGUGACUUUGCUUGAAGCAAAACUUCAGGAGGAGGAGGAGUGCUUGUCGGGAAUCCAGAGUUGUAAAUAACGGAUUCGAUCCAGUUCAUUUCUAUACAAUCCUCCUGAGUUAGUCCUAGUUCUG
Molecule: long non-coding RNA, 11484 nt
Filed under: Brassica rapa (field mustard)
Lineage: Eukaryota; Viridiplantae; Streptophyta; Magnoliopsida; Brassicales; Brassicaceae
Description: long non-coding RNA (BRAP_LNC006594)
Source: RNAcentral